RNAcentral lists this ribosomal RNA (254 nucleotides) under uncultured bacterium. RNAcentral's name for it is "partial 16S ribosomal RNA". It matches the Rfam family "Bacterial small subunit ribosomal RNA", at positions 524 to 776 of the family's 1533-position model. The record is from RNAcentral.
UACGUAGGCAGCAAGCGUUGUUCGGAGUUACUGGGCGUAAAGGGUGUGUAGGCGGUUGGAUAAGAGUGGUGUGAAAUCUCCCGGCUUAACUGGGAGGGUGCGCUACAGACUGUCUGACUAGAGUAUGGGAUGGGAGAGUGGAAUUCCUGGUGUAGCGGUGAAAUGCGUAGAUAUCAGGAGGAACACCGGUGGUGUAGACGGCUCGUCUGGACCAUUACUGACGCUGAGACACGAAAGCGUGGGUAGCAAACAGG